This 541-nucleotide ribosomal RNA is filed under the name uncultured bacterium. RNAcentral describes it as "bacterial SSU rRNA". It matches the Rfam family "Bacterial small subunit ribosomal RNA", at positions 778 to 1319 of the family's 1533-position model. The record is from RNAcentral.
AAUGAUACCCCGGUAGUCCACGCCGUAAACGUUGGAUACUAGGUGUGGCGGUUAUACCAAUGACUGCCGUGCCGAAGCUAACGCAUUAAGUAUCCCGCCUGGGGAGUACGGCCGCAAGGCUAAAACUCAAAGGAAUUGACGGGUCCCCGCACAAGCGGCGGAGCAUGCGGCUUAAUUCGAUGCAACCCGAAGAACCUUACCUGGGUUUGACAUCACGGGAAAAGCUGUAGAAAUACAGUGUCCAUUAGGGCCCGUGACAGGUGGUGCAUGGCUGUCGUCAGCUCGUGUCGUGAGAUGUUGGGUUAAGUCCCGCAACGAGCGCAACCCUUGUCCUAUGUUGCCAGCGGUUCGGCCGGGGACUCAUAGGAGACUGCCGGGGAUAACUCGGAGGAAGGUGAGGACGACGUCAAGUCAUCAUGCCCCUUAUAUCCAGGGCUGCACGCAUGCUACAAUGGCCGGUACAACGGGCAGCGACCCCGCGAGGGUGAGCGAAUCCUAAAAAGCCGGUCCUAGUUCGGAUUGAAGUCUGCAACUCGACUUC